CUUACCAUGCAAGUCGAACGGUAACAGGUCUUCGGACGCUGACGAGUGGCGAACGGGUGAGUAAUACAUCGGAACGUGCCCAGUCGUGGGGGAUAACUACUCGAAAGAGUAGCUAAUACCGCAUACGAUCUGAGGAUGAAAGCGGGGGACCUUCGGGCCUCGCGCGAUUGGAGCGGCCGAUGGCAGAUUAGGUAGUUGGUGGGAUAAAAGCUUACCAAGCCGACGAUCUGUAGCUGGUCUGAGAGGACGACCAGCCACACUGGGACUGAGACACGGCCCAGACUCCUACGGGAGGCAGCAGUGGGGAAUUUUGGACAAUGGGCGAAAGCCUGAUCCAGCAAUGCCGCGUGCAGGAUGAAGGCCUUCGGGUUGUAAACUGCUUUUGUACGGGACGAAAAAGCUCCUUCUAAUACAGGGGGCCCAUGACGGUACCGUAAGAAUAAGCACCGACUAACUACGUGCCAGCAGCCGCGGUAAUACGUAGGGUGCGAGCGUUAAUCGGAAUUACUGGGCGUAAAGCGUGCGCAGGCGGUUAUGUAAGACAGAUGUGAAAUCCCCGGGCUCAACCUGGGAACUGCAUUUGUGACUGCAUGGCUAGAGUACGGUAGAGGGGGAUGGAAUUCCGCGUGUAGCAGUGAAAUGCGUAGAUAUGCGGAGGAACACCGAUGGCGAA
Molecule: ribosomal RNA, 673 nt
Filed under: uncultured bacterium
Lineage: Bacteria
Description: bacterial SSU rRNA
Rfam family: Bacterial small subunit ribosomal RNA
Source: RNAcentral